GAUGAACGUUGGCGGUGCGCCUAAUACAUGCAAGUCGAACGGAGACAGUAGCAAUAUUGUCUUAGUGGCGAACGGGUGAGUAACGCGUUGGUGAUCUGCCUCGAAGUGUGGAAUAACGUUCCGAAAGGAAUGCUAAUACCGCAUGGUCUUCUGGUUUUUAGAAAACUGGAAGUAAAGGAUUUAUUCGCUUCGAGAGGAGCCUGCGUCCCAUCAGCUAGUUGGUAAGGUAAUGGCUUACCAAGGCUAUGACGGGUAGGGGGCCUGAGAGGGUGGCCCCCCACACUGGCACUGAAACACGGGCCAGACACCUACGGGUGGCUG
This 321-nucleotide ribosomal RNA is filed under the name uncultured Chloroflexota bacterium. RNAcentral describes it as "bacterial SSU rRNA". It matches the Rfam family "Bacterial small subunit ribosomal RNA", at positions 28 to 351 of the family's 1533-position model. Lineage: Bacteria; Bacillati; Chloroflexota. The record is from RNAcentral.